This 423-nucleotide ribosomal RNA is filed under the name uncultured bacterium. Its description in RNAcentral is "bacterial SSU rRNA". It matches the Rfam family "Bacterial small subunit ribosomal RNA", at positions 202 to 622 of the family's 1533-position model. The record is from RNAcentral.
AAGGCCUUGCGCUUUUGGAGCGGCCGAUGCCUGAUUAGCUAGUUGGUGGGGUAAUGGCCUACCAAAGCUUCGAUCAGUAGCUGGUCUGAGAGGACGGCCAGCCACACUGGGACUGAGACACGGCCCAGACUCCUACGGGAGGCAGCAGUGGGGAAUUUUGGACAAUGGGCGCAAGCCUGAUCCAGCCAUGCCGCGUGAGUGAAGAAGGCCUUCGGGUUGUAAAGCUCUUUCAGCCGGGAAGAAAAGGUUGCGAUUAAUAAUCGCAAUUUAUGACGGUACCGGAAGAAGAAGCACCGGCUAACUACGUGCCAGCAGCCGCGGUAAUACGUAGGGUGCGAGCGUUAAUCGGAAUUACUGGGCGUAAAGGGUGCGCAGGCGGUUUUGUAAGUCAGAUGUGAAAUCCCCGGGCUUAACCUGGGAACU